This 1343-nucleotide ribosomal RNA is filed under the name uncultured bacterium. RNAcentral describes it as "16S ribosomal RNA". It matches the Rfam family "Bacterial small subunit ribosomal RNA", at positions 28 to 1378 of the family's 1533-position model. The record is from RNAcentral.
GACGAACGCUGGCGGCGUGCUUAACACAUGCAAGUCGAACGGAAAGGCCCUGCUUUUGUGGGGUGCUCGAGUGGCGAACGGGUGAGUAACACGUGAGUAACCUGCCCUUGACUUUGGGAUAACUUCAGGAAACUGGGGCUAAUACCGGAUAGGAGCUCCUGCUGCAUGGUGGGGGUUGGAAAGUUUCGGCGGUUGGGGAUGGACUCGCGGCUUAUCAGCUUGUUGGUGGGGUAGUGGCUUACCAAGGCUUUGACGGGUAGCCGGCCUGAGAGGGUGACCGGCCACAUUGGGACUGAGAUACGGCCCAGACUCCUACGGGAGGCAGCAGUGGGGAAUAUUGCACAAUGGGCGGAAGCCUGAUGCAGCAACGCCGCGUGCGGGAUGACGGCCUUCGGGUUGUAAACCGCUUUCGCCUGUGACGAAGCGUGAGUGACGGUAAUGGGUAAAGAAGCACCGGCUAACUACGUGCCGGCAGCCGCGGUGAUACGUAGGGUGCGAGCGUUGUCCGGAUUUAUUGGGCGUAAAGGGCUCGUAGGUGGUUGAUCGCGUCGGAAGUGUAAUCUUGGGGCUUAACCCUGAGCGUGCUUUCGAUACGGGUUGACUUGAGGAAGGUAGGGGAGAAUGGAAUUCCUGGUGGAGCGGUGGAAUGCGCAGAUAUCAGGAGGAACACCAGUGGCGAAGGCGGUUCUCUGGGCCUUUCCUGACGCUGAGGAGCGAAAGCGUGGGGAGCGAACAGGCUUAGAUACCCUGGUAGUCCACGCUGUAAACGGUGGGUACUAGGUGUGGGGUCCAUUCCACGGGUUCCGUGCCGUAGCUAACGCUUUGAGUACCCCGCCUGGGGAGUACGGCCGCAAGGCUAAAACUCAAAGGAAUUGACGGGGCCCCGCACAAGCGGCGGAGCAUGCGGAUUAAUUCGAUGCAACGCGUAGAACCUUACCUGGGUUUGACAUGGAUCGGGAGUGCUCAGAGAUGGGUGUGCCUCUUUUGGGGUCGGUUCACAGGUGGUGCAUGGCUGUCGUCAGCUCGUGUCGUGAGAUGUUGGGUUAAGUCCCGCAACGAGCGCAACCCUUGUUCACUGUUGCCAGCACGUUAUGGUGGGGACUCAGUGGAGACCGCCGGGGUCAACUCGGAGGAAGGUGGGGAUGACGUCAAGUCAUCAUGCCCCUUAUGUCCAGGGCUUCACGCAUGCUACAAUGGCUGGUACAGAGAGUGGCGAGCCUGUGAGGGUGAGCGAAUCUCGGAAAGCCGGUUUCAGUUCGGAUUGGGGUCGGCAACUCGACCUCAUGAAGUCGGAGUCGCUAGUAAUCGCAGAUCAGCAACGCUGCGGUGAAUACGUUCCCGGG